RNAcentral lists this ribosomal RNA (490 nucleotides) under uncultured bacterium. RNAcentral describes it as "partial 16S ribosomal RNA". It matches the Rfam family "Bacterial small subunit ribosomal RNA", at positions 29 to 507 of the family's 1533-position model. The record is from RNAcentral.
AGUGAACGCUGGCGGUAGGCCUAACACAUGCAAGUCGAACGGCAGCACAGGAGAGCUUGCUCUCUGGGUGGCGAGUGGCGGACGGGUGAGGAAUACAUCGGAAUCUGCCCAGUCGUGGGGGAUAACGUAGGGAAACUUACGCUAAUACCGCAUACGACCUUCGGGUGAAAGAGGGGGAUCGCAAGACCUCUCGCGAUUGGAUGAGCCGAUGUCGGAUUAGCUAGUUGGCGGGGUAAUGGCCCACCAAGGCGACGAUCCGUAGCUGGUCUGAGAGGAUGAUCAGCCACACUGGAACUGAGACACGGUCCAGACUCCUACGGGAGGCAGCAGUGGGGAAUAUUGGACAAUGGGCGCAAGCCUGAUCCAGCCAUACCGCGUGGGUGAAGAAGGCCUUCGGGUUGUAAAGCCCUUUUGUUGGGAAUGAAAUCUUUCAGGCUAAUACCCUGGGAGGAUGACGGUACCCAAAGAAUAAGCACCGGCUAACUUCGUG